Molecule: unclassified non-coding RNA, 313 nt
Filed under: uncultured fungus
Lineage: Eukaryota; Fungi
Description: partial contains 5.8S ribosomal RNA and internal transcribed spacer 2
Rfam family: 5.8S ribosomal RNA (bases 1-133)
Source: RNAcentral
UGGUUCUGGCAUCGAUGAAGAACGCAGCGAAAUGCGAUAAGUAAUGUGAAUUGCAGAAUUCAGUGAAUCAUCGAAUCUUUGAACGCACAUUGCGCCCUCUGGUAUUCCGGGGGGCAUGCCUGUUCGAGCGUCAUUACAACCCGUCAAGCUCAGCUUGGUAUUGGGUGUCACCAGCCUUGGUGCACCUUAAAAUCAGUGGCGGUGUCUUUAGGCUUCCAGCGUAGUAAACUUCUCGCCACGGAGCCCUAAAUCCACCCGCCAGAACCCCCAAUUUUCAAAGGUUGACCUCGGAUCAGGUAGGGAUACCCGCUGA